Dermacentor albipictus is the source of this 340-nucleotide non-coding RNA. The record is from RefSeq and is a predicted model, not a curated record. NCBI's taxonomy places the organism in Eukaryota, Metazoa, Arthropoda, Arachnida, Ixodida, Ixodidae.
CCGUGGCGUAGUUUUUUUCUGCGGUGUGAUGAAUAUUCCCGGCGGAGGGUCGGUGGUGAAGACAGCGAGGCCGUGCCUGAUACGGAGCACAGUGGACGGUGGUCUAUAGGUCGUGCUUGAAGGUUGCGGGUAUCACGGAGUUUCCGGAAGAUGCUCCUUGAACAGCCAUCCAUCGCAGCCUUAUUGCAGAAGUACAUUAUGCAGUGUGGCCGUGUACAUCAGUACUCAAGGUGUCACGGACCUGACGCACGAGAACAAGUGCUUCCUGAAAGAUUCUGGAGGUAGUGCACAGCCUCGCCAACAAAAAAAGAAGAAGAAGAAGCUUCAUUAAAGAAUGUCG